CAUCGGUGACAGGUGGUGCAUGGUUGUCGUCAGCUCGUGUCGUGAGAUGUUGGGUUAAGUCCGCAACGAGCGCAACCCCUAUUGUUAGUUGCCAUCAUUCAGUUGGGCACUCUAGCGAGACUGCCGGUAAUAAACCGGAGGAAGGUGGGGAUGACGUCAAAUCAUCAUGCCCCUUAUGACCUGGGCUACACACGUGCUACAAUGGUUGGUACAACGAGUUGCGAGUCGGUGACGGCGAGCUAAUCUCUUAAAGCCAAUCUCAGUUCGGAUUGUAGGCUGCAACUCGCCUACAUGAAGUCGGAAUCGCUAGUAAUCGCGGAUCAGCACGCCGCGGUGAAUACGUUCCCGGGCCUU
RNAcentral lists this ribosomal RNA (354 nucleotides) under uncultured Streptococcus sp. Its description in RNAcentral is "bacterial SSU rRNA". It matches the Rfam family "Bacterial small subunit ribosomal RNA", at positions 1026 to 1382 of the family's 1533-position model. The record is from RNAcentral. Lineage: Bacteria; Bacillati; Bacillota; Bacilli; Lactobacillales; Streptococcaceae.